CGGAAGGCUGCGGAAGUGUUGGACGUCAAGGAAAGCUUAGCAAGUGAAAGAGUGCGGAAUUGUUACUUGCGCGGAUGCACGUUUCCUCUCUUCCCCCUCUUUUUAUUUCAGUAUUUUGUCUCUUUCAUUUUAUUAUUUGAUUCAAGAAGUCUGCCUUUUUAUUUACUUCAUAAAAAAGUGUGUUUGCAGAUGACAUUGUGAUCUGCAGUGAAAGCAGGGAGCAGCUGGAGGAACAGUUAGAAAGAUGGAGGCAUGCACUGGAAAGAAGAGGAAUGAAGAUUAGAUGAAAAUUGAGUUCCUCGACAUCUGGGAUGUGGACAUGAAGAAACGAGAUGAGACCAACAAGAUUCUCGACCAUACGGCCCUCUACCAUUCGGAGAAUCUCAUUGUCCAAAGAGGGCAAGAGUUCCAGGUUAACAUCACCUUCAACCGUCUGUACAACCCAAACAAGGACAAGUUUGCCGUGGAGCUUGUCAUCGUUUCCAAUCCUCAGUACAGCAAGAACACCUACGUUCCUGUCUUCUCAACCGAGGACAGACAGAGCUCCUGGCCGGGCCGUGUCAUCCGGACCUCUGACGUUCUCACCGUGGUUGUCAUGCCCGCUGCCAACUGCAUCGUGGGCAAGUACCAGAUGUAUGCCGCUGAGGCGAACCUAUACGGCAUCCGCACGACCAAGCGGUACAAGAGUCGUUACAUCUAUGUUCACGUCAAUCCAUGGGAGGCAGCAUCACCUCGACGUGUCGCCUAAAAGCACCAACAACUUCAGAAACGUGCGUACGCCAGCCAUGAAGUUGGCGUGAGGCACGCUCAUUUCACUCUUGAUACAUCUGAACUUUGCUGUGAAAAAGAACUUGCUUUUCUCAAUCCCUCCAACGCAGAGCGGAAAGUGUUGUGAUCGUCGUGUGAAAAUGUGUGCAAGGACAGCAGAGUACGAGGAGGAACUUUGUGGCCCAAAAGAGGAGAACGAGCCACGGUGGUCAUAGGAAUGACAUAGAUAUUAAAGGCCAUUUGACCAUCAUUAAUCUGGAACUUAAUUUCAACCAGGCUGCUACAACACCCUUAUAAUUUUGUUUCAGCAUAAAUUAAUAAUUAAAAAAAAUUUCAGCAUAUUAAAUUAGCGAUUGAACAUAAUUUUUUUUAAUGCUGUGUUCUUGUGAGUGUACAACAGUAUAUGAUAGCAAUGUAAAAUAUAAUAUCAACUUGAACAAAGCGAUGUUUGGAAACUCAAGCAAGAUUUUGUAUUUUGUUUGUUUUUUCGUUAAAACUGGUCAAAUUGGAGGUGGGGAAAUUCCGCCCGACAGCGAUUUUAUAUGAAAUAUGAGUUAAUACUGCCAAUUUAAUAAAUUCCUUUUUCCACACAAGCUAUGCAGUGAAUUUGGUGUCCAGCUCUGCGACUGAUGUUACACCAGGACAGGUCGAUUUUUGUGAUGGAAAACUGUGCGUUUAAAGUGCAAUGAAUUAUUGACAAAACUGAUUGAUGGUGUUAGAAAUGUCUGACAAUUUCAUUGUAUUGAGCAAAAAAUACAUUAAGCCAAUUUGUAAGUGAAUUAUGGACCGUGUAAACUCCUUCCCCAUUUCAGUUCUCUGGAUUUUUUUAUUCGUGGCUAAAACCAAGCCCACUUGGACUUUCUUGCAUACCGAACGUUGGUCCUAUAUGUCAUUCUAUCAGUGGCUAUCUGCCGCAAUUGUGAGUUAGAUAGUACUAAUAACAGCUGUCAGGUUCAAACCUAGAACAUUUAAUAAACAAUAAACAAGAAAGGAAGACGAGAAUGUUCAUAUACUCACGAGGAGAACGCUAAGAGUUGUUCGCAGUUUACAAACUCCUACCGCUCUGAACACACUCUGUCGAUCCCUCUCUUUUUAUUUUCUUAGGGCGGUUCCUAGUUACACAGCUGUUGCUGCUAUAAAGUUGGGGGAGCACAUAGCAGCAACAUGUAAACAGACUCACAGACAACUUCAAUUUACAUGAUACAAUCAACAUUAUACUCAAUCAACAUCAUACUGCUAAAUGCAUGCUUUGAAAUAGGAUUAGAGUAAACAUGAGAUAACAUAUACUUUUAUUCUGACAUUUCCCUCCUGUUUAUCACAUCCAUACAUCCAUUUUCUGAGCCGCUUCUCCUCACUAGGGUUGCGGGCGUGCUGGAGCCUAUCCCAGCUGUCAUCGGGCAGGAGGCGGGGUACACCCUGAACUGGUUGCCAGCCAAUCGCAAGGCACAUACAAACAAACAACCAUCCGCACUCGCAUUAAUUGGAGACUCUAAAUUGCCCGUAGGUGUGAACAAAAAAACAUAAUGGCAAAUAAUGAUGACAAAUGCAUUUCCACUUUAUUUGAAUAAAGUGCAAAUCAAAUGGUUUCAGGUUUGAUGAAUAGUAGGUUUACCUGCGACUUCUGAUUGUCACAGUUGGUAAUCGUAUGAUGUUGGACUGGACCCAAAAGGAGACGGAAGCGGAGGAAUUAAUCGCUCAGCGUGUAGGACAUCCGAGGGGUGAUGGUGGUCCGUUGAAACAGGGAAGGUGUAGGAAGUGGAGGUAGUCGAGUGCAGGUAGUCGAGGAACUUACGAGGAGGAGUCAUGAAAGUUGGCCUGUGUUGGCCACAGAUGAACGUCAAUACUCUGGCGCUGGAUUCCUGGAUCUGGCAGGCUUAAAUGCUGGCAGUGUAGAGUGCUGAUUGGGAACAGGUGCGCGGAUGAGGUGCUGAUUGCAAGGGAGAGAGAGAGGGAGGGAAAGGCGAGGCAAAAAGCGCCACCAGAGUUCCAAAAAGGGAACUGCAGGGACACACCAUGACACUGAUGUCUUUUUCGACAUAAAAAUAAUUAAUCAUCUUGUUGUGGUUGGACACAAAACAUGGAAUGCUCAAAUUUUCUAAUUAUAUUUUUUACUCGGCACGAUGUGUGACGUCGUGGUUACGUAGCUCUGAGUAGCUUGUAACGUCCAAGUUCCCAUCUGUCCAGGGUGAGACACUUUCCAGUCUGCCUGCUCGAUGCUCUCUUUGACUGCUUUGGUCUGUCUCUUAGUAAAGUGUCGGCGUUAGCGUUUUGCUGAAGUACAGUAUGUGAUGGAAAUUUGUACCGUGCUGCAAAUGUGUUUACCAACCUUUUAGCUCUCCAUCGUGCGAAAACCUGGUUGAAAUGUCUCACGAAUUGAUGUUUGGCCUCAGCUUGCUUCUUACUUCGGGUGAUUGUGGCUUUUCAUAUUACUUAUAUUCCACAACUUGUCGACAGCGGCGGCUUUCAGCAAACAGUUUAUUGCAUGGCCAUCAUGUUAUUUCCUCCAACGUUUUUUUAUUACUGCAAAUCAAAAAUGCGUCCAUACUUCGGAUUUAAACUUUGGUGGGUGUUCUCUAACAUCUUCAACAAACAAGAACAGUACAGUUGCCUUGACUCAACCUUUGCAGAUUACACUCGUGAAGUUUUGCGUUCUGCACAGUGACUGAUUCACCGUCAUAUUUCCUGCACUGCGCAUGAGAGAUUUGAUUUGCUUCUCAGACAGGAAAUUUAAUCGAGUAAUGCUGACCAUCUUUUUUAUUAAAAGUGGUUAAAAAAAACACAUUCACCCAUAUCAAGUCUGCCGUACGGAAAUCCAAUUGCGUUAUUUCCGAGUAUCGAUACAAUCAAUUUGUUGUCUUCUACAAUGAUCUAAAUCUAUUUGUUUUAGCUGAGGACAGAUUGAUCCAAUUGGAUUUUAGGAAUAUAAAUCGAUACAUCGAUAUAAACAAUGAAUUGUUAUGCCUCUAAUAAUAAUCUGCAAUUGGCUGGCGAC
Molecule: RNA transcript, 3760 nt
Organism: Phyllopteryx taeniolatus (common seadragon)
Lineage: Eukaryota; Metazoa; Chordata; Actinopteri; Syngnathiformes; Syngnathidae
Gene name: coagulation factor XIII A chain-like
Exons: 5
Source: RefSeq, a predicted model, not a curated record